This 68-nucleotide transfer RNA is filed under the name Marmota monax (woodchuck). Its description in RNAcentral is "tRNA.Ala". Lineage: Eukaryota; Metazoa; Chordata; Mammalia; Rodentia; Sciuridae. The record is from RNAcentral.
GGAUAUAGCUCAGUUGGUAGAGUGUUUGUCUAGCAUGCACAGGGCUCUGGGUUUAAUCCCUAGCACCA